Long non-coding RNA from Prionailurus viverrinus (fishing cat), 785 nucleotides. RefSeq lists it as uncharacterized. Lineage: Eukaryota; Metazoa; Chordata; Mammalia; Carnivora; Felidae. The transcript has 3 exons. The record is from RefSeq and is a predicted model, not a curated record.
CUGGGUGAGGCAGGCAGGAGGCCGGGCAGGGGCAGGUAGGAGGCUCUAUGGAGCCUAUCUGGUCUAGAGCAUGGCCUCAGCCAGUGCCUCGGAGAGCAUGGGACAGAGGCCAAAAGAAAGCCUUGAUAAAACCAGAGGUGCAGGGCUUUGGGCCAAAACCCUGGCUCCAGGAAGUGACUGGAGCCUGAAGGAAGUGAGGCUGCCCAGGAAUCCCUAGUUCUCUCAGCUCCUCUUCAUCUGAACUCACUCUGGUUUGUCCACAUCCCUCCGAAUAAGACAGACAGCCACCAUCUUUUCAUGGAGACUCUGCUGCUCUAACAACUUAUGACCACUUCCCCAAGAGGUGCAGAUUAAGAGAAAGGCUCCAGUGUUGAUCCCACCACUUUUUCUCCUGCUUCUGGCUUGAAUUCUACAUGAAAAAGAAGUCUGAGCAAACCUUGGGAAACCCAGAAGUAAACCAUAAAAGAAAUGCCAGAUUUUCCUAGAUUUUUAAAUACCUGUUCUUACUCAACAGCAUGAGUUUCUGUUUCUGAGAAACAGAAUAAAGAAAACCAGUGACAGAAAAAGAAAUGGAUGAAAUUUUGCUUCGCCUUCCAUUCUAGUCCCCAACUUUAAUUAGACACAUUCUAGACAUAAUGCUCUGCUGGGCUUCCCCUAACUACAAAGUAUAAGCAAUUAUCCUCCAUAUAAAAGCCUCUUCACAUGUGAAUAAUAAAUAUUUGUUCACUUCUCCAAUUCUUACCUUAUGUGAUUAGACAUCUGUGGUAUGUUUACAGAGAUACAAC